GAUGAAGAACGUAGCGAAAUGCGAUAAGUAAUGUGAAUUGCAGAAUUCAGUGAAUCAUCGAAUCUUUGAACGCACAUUGCGCCCCUUGGUAUUCCGAGGGGCAUGCCUGUUCGAGCGUCAUUAUAACCCCUCAAGCUCAGCUUGGUGUUGGGGCCUGCUGCUCUGGCAGCCCUUAAAAUCAGUGGCGGCGCCAUCUGGCUCUAAGCGUAGUAAUUCUUCUCGCUAUGGAGUCCUGGUGGAUGCUUGCCAUCAACCCCCAAUUUUUCUAUGGUUGACCUCGGAUCAGGUAGGGAUACCCGCUGAACUUAAGCAUAUCAAUAAGCGGAGGA
RNAcentral lists this unclassified non-coding RNA (329 nucleotides) under soil metagenome. RNAcentral describes it as "partial contains 5.8S ribosomal RNA, internal transcribed spacer 2, and large subunit ribosomal RNA". The stretch from base 1 to 120 matches the Rfam family "5.8S ribosomal RNA", at positions 35 to 154 of the family's 154-position model. The record is from RNAcentral.